Long non-coding RNA from Apodemus sylvaticus (European woodmouse), 517 nucleotides. RefSeq lists it as uncharacterized. Lineage: Eukaryota; Metazoa; Chordata; Mammalia; Rodentia; Muridae. The transcript is spliced from 3 exons. The record is from RefSeq and is a predicted model, not a curated record.
AAAACAUCCUCGCUAUGUAAAGGAGGGGAAGCCGGCUGUAAGGUAACAGGAAAGCCCAGCUCUGCAAUUGGAGGCGGCCACUUUCUCACUUAGACGUGCUGAGGAACGUAGGACUCUCUCUGAGGUGAGAGACUCUCUGAGGUGAGAGACUGACAUAGAAAGCCUGGGAGGAAUCGUGUGGAGAAAGAAGGCAGCCUCCUCCAGCGAGUAAUGAGCAGCCCGUUCAAGGGGAUUGAAUUCCGACUCCGGUGGCUUCGGAGAGAAAUGAACGCUCUCUCCAGAAAUCUGGGAAAUCAGACCUCAACGCCCGUGUGCCACUCUUGAAAUCAACGCCAUUGUCCCUGCUCCAAUCAUUUCUCGAAGAACCGGGGUGGGAUAUGCAUUUUAUCAAGAGGGAAAAAUAGAAAGGUAGGUUCUUGGAAUGGGGGGUGGGGCUGGAAAACUACAAGAAGAAGGAGCUGGCUUGCCUCGCCAGCAGAGAUGGGCAAAGGGACGGCCCAGCGUACUCACCCGGACG